This 467-nucleotide ribosomal RNA is filed under the name uncultured bacterium. RNAcentral describes it as "partial 16S ribosomal RNA". It matches the Rfam family "Bacterial small subunit ribosomal RNA", at positions 28 to 507 of the family's 1533-position model. The record is from RNAcentral.
GAUGAACGCUGGCGGCGUGCUUAACACAUGCAAGUCGAACGGAAAGGCUCCUGCUUGCAGGGGUACUCGAGUGGCGAACGGGUGAGUAACACGUCGGUGAUCUGCCCUGCACUUCGGGAUAAGCCUGGGAAACUGGGUCUAAUACCGGAUAGGACCACAUUUUGGAUGGUGUGGUGGAAAGUUUUUCGGUGUGGGAUGAGCUCGCGGCCUAUCAGCUUGUUGGUGGGGUAAUGGCCUACCAAGGCGUCGACGGGUAGCCGGCCUGAGAGGGUGUACGGCCACAUUGGGACUGAGAUACGGCCCAGACUCCUACGGGAGGCAGCAGUGGGGAAUAUUGCACAAUGGGCGCAAGCCUGAUGCAGCGACGCCGCGUGGGGGAUGACGGCCUUCGGGUUGUAAACUCCUUUCGCUAGGGACGAAGCGUUUUUGUGACGGUACCUGGAGAAGAAGCACCGGCUAACUACGUG